This 737-nucleotide ribosomal RNA is filed under the name uncultured Gammaproteobacteria bacterium. RNAcentral's name for it is "bacterial SSU rRNA". It matches the Rfam family "Bacterial small subunit ribosomal RNA", at positions 60 to 792 of the family's 1533-position model. The record is from RNAcentral. Lineage: Bacteria; Pseudomonadati; Pseudomonadota; Gammaproteobacteria.
AGUCGAGCGGUAGCACAGAGAAGCUUGCUUCUUGGGUGACGAGCGGCGGACGGGUGAGUAACGCGUAGGAAUCUACCUGGUAGUGGGGGGCAACAGUUGGAAACGACUGCUAAUACCGCAUACGCCCUACGGGGGAAAGAGGGCUUCGGCUCUUGCUAUCAGAUGAGCCUGCGUGAGAUUAGCUUGUUGGUGGGGUAAUGGCCUACCAAGGCAACGAUCUCUAGCUGGUCUGAGAGGAUGAUCAGCCACACUGGGACUGAGACACGGCCCAGACUCCUACGGGAGGCAGCAGUGGGGAAUAUUGGACAAUGGGCGCAAGCCUGAUCCUGCCACUCCGCGUGAGUGAAGAAGGCCUUCGGGUUGUAAAGCUCUUUCGCAAGGGAAGAAAUUUUAUUGUCGAAUAAACAGUAAAGAUGACGGUACCUUGAGAAGAAGCACCGGCUAACUACGUGCCAGCAGCCGCGGUAAUACGGAGGGGGUUAGCGUUGUUCGGAAUUACUGGGCGUAAAGCGCACGUAGGCGGAUUAGAAAGUUGGGGGUGAAAUCCCGGGGCUCAACCUCGGAACGGCCUCCAAAACUCCUAGUCUAGAGUUCGAGAGAGGUGAGUGGAAUUCCAAGUGUAGAGGUGAAAUUCGUAGAUAUUUGGAGGAACACCAGUGGCGAAGGCGGCUCACUGGCUCGAUACUGACGCUGAGGUGCGAAAGUGUGGGGAGCAAACAGGAUUAGAUACCCUGGUA